UCUGGUUGAUCCUGCCAGUAGUCAUAUGCUUGUCUCAAAGAUUAAGCCAUGCAUGUCUAAGUACAAACCUUAAUACGGUGAAACCGCGAAUGGCUCAUUAAAUCAGCUAUGGUUCCUUAGAUCGUCUCAUCCUACUCGGAUAACUGUGGAAAAUCUAGAGCUAAUACGUGCUUACAAGCCCUGACCUCACGGGAGGGGCGCAUUUAUUAGAUCAAAACCAAUCGGGGCUUGCCCCGUCUGCUUGGUGACUCUGGAUAACUUUUGUGCUGAUCGCAUGGCCUCUGCGCUGGCGACGUAUCUUUCAAGUGUCUGCCCUAUCAACUUACGAUGGUAGGUGAUAUGCCUACCAUGGUUAUAACGGGUAACGGGGAAUCAGGGUUCGAUUCCGGAGAGGGAGCCUGAGAAACGGCUACCACAUCUAAGGAAGGCAGCAGGCGCGCAAAUUACCCACUCCCGGCACGGGGAGGUAGUGACGAAAAAUAACGAUACGGGACUCUUUUGAGGCCCCGUAAUUGGAAUGAGUACACUUUAAAUCCGUUAACAAGUAUCUAUUGGAGGGCAAGUCUGUGGCCAGCAGCCGCGGUAAUUCCAGCUCCAAUAGCGUAUAUUAAUGUUGCUGCAGUUAAAAAGCUCGUAGUUGGAUCUGAGGACUCGAAUUGGUGGUGCACCAUACGGUGUUACUGCCGAUUCGGCCUACCUAGUCGUCGGUGCUCGCUCUUGGUGUUCUUAAUUGAAUGCCCUGAGUGCCCGGCAAGUUUACUUUGAAAAAAUUAGAGUGCUCAAAGCAGGCCAUUAGCCGGAAUACUUCAGCAUGGAAUAAUGGAAUAGGACUUCGGUUCUAUUUUGUUGGUUUUCGGAACCCGAGGUAAUGAUUAAGAGAGACAGACGGGGGCAUUCGUACUGCGGUGUUAGAGGUGAAAUUCUUGGAUCGCCGCAAGACGAACAACUGCGAAAGCAUUUGCCAAGAAUGUUUUCAUUAAUCAAGAACGAAAGUCAGAGGUUCGAAGACGAUCAGAUACCGUCCUAGUUCUGACCAUAAACGAUGCCAACUGGCGAUCCGAGAUCGUUUGCUUAUUGACCUCUCGGGCAGCCUCCGGGAAACCAAAGUUUUUAGGUUCCGGGGGAAGUAUGGUUGCAAAGCUGGAAAGCCCUUAGUCCCUUUCCAGUCCACAGACGGGAAAAAUACGCUAUCUGCCAGAAGUCAUUAGACAAAGACUUCUCUGGAACCAUCUCUAAAAUUCUAGAUGGGGUAGAAAUCUCUGAAGCGGAGGUUCGCCCUGAGAUGGCCAAGAUCGAAGAAGUUUACCAACAGCGCCUGGGUAAUACAUCAGGUGCUCUUCCCGAAAACACGGACACCCCCGUGGUAGAAGGCCUCCGGUUCGAACGGAAAACCGCGCCUUUUGACGCACAGGAGGUGACACGUGCGAUUAGGGAAAGUAACAAAUCUACAGCAGCUGGUCCAGACAGAUGGUUCAACGGGCGAUGCCUGAAGAAUCUCGAUUGCGAAACUGUUGCCGCUCUCUUCAAUCUUUGGCGGUUUAAGCAAAAAAUACCCUCAGCUCUGCGGGAGAAUCGGACUAUCCUGUUGCCCAAAGG
RNAcentral lists this ribosomal RNA (1596 nucleotides) under Macrostomum lignano. RNAcentral's name for it is "SSU rRNA". The stretch from base 1 to 1185 matches the Rfam family "Eukaryotic small subunit ribosomal RNA". Lineage: Eukaryota; Metazoa; Platyhelminthes; Macrostomidae. The record is from RNAcentral.